This is a regulatory RNA element of Jeotgalibaca sp. PTS2502, 73 nucleotides long. NCBI's taxonomy places the organism in Bacteria, Bacillati, Bacillota, Bacilli, Lactobacillales, Carnobacteriaceae. The record is from Rfam.
CCACAGCUACAACCGCUCGAUUUGAAGUUUACAAGUCCUUACGGCACUUCAUUCGGCGAGUCUAAGUAUAUAA